UGGUCAUGUCCUUUACUUCAAACUGCUGUAGGAUGGUGAUGGUGACAUCUCAAGAUACAAGAAUGCUGGCUCAGACCUAAAUUCAAAACACGAUUCGAGGUCUUCCAGCCCCCGAUUGGCAGAUGGGAAAGAGCAUCGUGAGAGAAAUGGCCUGAGAGGACGAAGCAGGUAGGAAUUAACUGGAUUUACUAAUUACUCAAAAAUUUUAAGGUACUCAAUUGGCAGGGGUUUGAUUUUAUUUUUUGGAAUGUCUUAAACUCUAAACGGAACAAAACUUAGACCACAUCUUGAUUUGCAUGUACUCCUAAUUUUCUACUGCUUAAUUUUUUGCUCUUAGGCUUUGUGUAAAUGAUAGGAAAAUCUUAUACAGGAUAAUAUUUCCCAAGAUAAAUGAGUGGACAAAAUGGAUGACUCAAGGAUAUGGAUGGAAGUGAGGUCUUGUAAACUAUCUUGGAGCUCAUAGCAAUUUGAACGAGAAUGUUAUGAAGUUGGACAGUUUUGGGUUAAUUUUUUAUGCCAGAAAUGGUUUUCUACGUAAAUAUUCUUAGAACUAGAAAGAGUAAAAAACAUGGAGAUUACUAGAGGAGGAUGAGAGAGUUUUGCUCAUUCGAGGGUAGGUCAAAAUCAUGCAUUUAAUUUCAAACUCUGUGCAUCAAGUCUACUGACAUGAAGAAAUUUUCCCACUUCAAUAAGGAUUUGGACAAAUUGGAGUAAUUUAAAAGUCUGGAGACUAUGAUCGCUUGAAAUUGGGACUAACCUAGAGUCUUGGAUUCUUAUGAAUUGCAACUUCUAAAUAUUAUUUUAAUUUUCUAGAUCAAUUAGGACUUAUGCAAUGUAAAAAGGGAUAAAUUCCAUUCGCUGUAACUAUGCUUUCGCUUUAUGUCAAUUAGGUGACUUUAGGAGUGGCGUGUGGUUUGGCUCAGUUCGAUCUUAAAGGGAAUCUAACCAAACUAAUUACCAAUGUGAAUUUUACAAAUGGAAUUAUUGGUUCCUUAUGUAUCGAACUGGAAAUGGACAAAUUGUUUCCUAUUUCUUUCGGUACUUUAUACUUAAAAUAAUGAAAAUAGAUUAUGAAAUCAAUUGUCAUUCCUAUAAUCUAACAAACAAAAAAUCAAUGAAUAGCAAGUCACUAAUAUAUUCCACAUGCUUUUUUAUUAGAGGUACUAGCUAGAAUAUUUAAAUUAUACAUAUUGUCCAAUGAUUAAAAUAACACCAAGUAUGUAAGUUUAAAAAAUAAAAAUUAAAAAAAUGCCAUUAAUCAAGAAUUACCACUAAUUUUGCUUUCCAGUUUCAAAUUCUCACUAAAUUUGCUUUAAAAUUGCCAAUUCACAAGUGAACAAUGUAAUAUGGAGUCAAAUUUGAAUAAUAAGUUAACUAAAUAUCAAAUCCCAAAUUUUAGUAGAAUUAACAAUCUACCAUAAUAAAAUUUAACUUAAGAACUCUUCAAUGUCUUCAACUUACAAAAUUUUAGUAGAAUUAACAAUCAACUGUAAUAAAAUUAAACUUAAGAAGUCUUCAAUGUCUUCAACUUAGCCCUUGUUUGACACCCAUUAAAAUUCAAAUACAUUUUUUACUCUUUUUUUCAACCAUACAUUUUUCAAUAAAAUAAUAUUACACGUAAAUUAAAAAAAAAAAAAAAUCUUUUUUAAUCACACAUCCUCCCAAAAAUACUAUUUUAUCAUACAUUUUACCAAAUUUUCUCUUUAUAAUGUGUCAAACAAGGGCUUAUCUGCAUCAAUCCUUUUAAAGAGUGAGUCCACCCCUUGCAUUGAUUUUAAAAUAUAAAAAUUAAAUGUUAAUAUAUGAACGAAAAAUUACACAUAAGAAAUUACAAAUAAAAUAUAAUUACGGUCGUACUUUCAACUAGAUCAUCAAUGAAUUUUCACAAUCAUUGAAUAAUCCUUUGUGUGAUUAUGUUUCUUAACAAAUUCUACAUGAUAUUGCAAAAAAAAAAAAAAAAAUUUUUUUUUAUAACUGUCAAUAUUAAAAGAAGCAUAAAUAAAAAGUAAAAACAAGUUUACAAUCUAAUAAACAAAAAUAAAAUAAGAUAUUCUAAUUAUCGAUUUCCAAUUUAAUAAAUUGUUCAUGAUAUUCCAUCUCUUCAAUGCCCACUCCAUAUAGUUGGUCUCCCAAGUGUAGAACAUAGCCAAUUUUGUAUAUAAAUUAAAGCCUCAAUUAUUUUGGGUGUAUUAACUCCUAAAUGAAUCAAAAACUCGCCCUACGGCACUAAAUGUCGACUCCAAAGCAACAAGAGAGAGAGGUUUGCAAGUAGAUCCCUUGCAAUCUUAAACAAAAUUGCAUAUCUUGGACAAUUUAACUUAAAAGUUGAAUUACUAGUUUUCAGUGGGGUCCAUUAGUUAUCUCUGAAUCUCAUCUUUUAACAAAUUAGCAUUGCUACUUCUUCCUUUUUUUUUUUUAAAAAAAAAAAAAUACCCAAAUCAAAAUUGUUGGACUCAUCCCAUGAUCAUCUGCAUAAGCCUCAACCAAAUUGUCAUUAAAGUCAUGAAUACCACCAUCUCCAUCAUUGGAUGCACUAUGCCAUCCUUUAUACCUAUUUUACAACUCGCGAUAAAAUCUUGAUUUCAUUUUUUCGAUUCAACCAAGCUAUUAUCAUAAAAGUGACCAAUACAAUAAACUACUUCCAACUUGUACCGAGGAUUCAAUCACAAUAGCUCUAAUAUCUGUAUUUUGUUCAUUUUAUCAACAAUCCCCCAAUACUUGUCGAAUUCACUCUUCAUGUUUUUUGCCAUAUCACUAAAUAAAAGAUCUUGCUAUGCUAAAUUUCUUCAAAAUUUGUUGAAUAUUACGAACUUCUUAAAAGUACAAAUUCGAGGUCACAUUCAAAGAUUCACUAAAAUUUUAAGUGAUUUUGUGAAAGGUUUCUAGAUACUUAAUAAUUUCCUCAUAUUUUUCCCAAUUGUCUCUUGUAAUUACCUCCUAUUUCCUUCCCAUUCUCACGCUCAUCAAAAUAUAUGCAAUAAAACCCAUAUUCCUUUGCCAUCCGAUCUAAUAGUUUCUCAAACUUAAGUGCACCAUCCAACAUCAAGUAUGUUGCAUUCCACCGAGUAAGCUAAUUUUUGCACUAAUUUCUUCUUUUAUCACAAAUCUUGAAUUUUGCUAAUCUUGAAGGGGAUGAUCCAAAAUAUUUCACGGCAUUCGUAUACUUGCUAUUGCCACGUUAAACUCUUUCAACUCAUCUUUUACCAUUACAUUCAAAAUAUGUGCACACCUUACAUGCGUAAGGGACCCACAUAAUGCCAUCCUAUCAACUUUCCCAUUCUUUAAUAUAUUUUUCGUAUUCAAUAGCCCUAUCAUUUGCACUUGUAUUAACAGUAGUAAUUAUGGAUACAUGCUCUAUUUUCUAGUCAAGCCAACAUUUUUCAGCAAGUUUUACUAUUGUUUUUCCUUUAUGGUUACGAACUAUCGAAACUCAAUAUCCUCUUAUUUAACACCCAGUUUUUGUCAAUAAAAUGGGACGUGAUAACCAUGUAAUUAAUAUAUUUAUUUAUGUCUUGCAAUUUGUGGUAAGACACAACUCUUGCUUAUUAGCAAUAAGCUUACCUUUCAAUAAUUCUCUCUUCACUAUAAAGUUUUAGCACGUCCCUAUUAACUAUUCUACGAGAUGGAAUAUCUGACUUAGGGCAUUCAUAUCCUAUAUAUUUUCUAAACCCAACACCAUCAAUAAAGCUAACGGCAAUUCAUUGACAAUAAUCAUUUUCACCAUUGCCUUCCUACAUGCUUCUUUGUUAAACACCAUAGCACCAAUAUCGGCAAUGCCACCGUUACCACCAUCAUUGUCAUUUAAUCAUCUCGUUAGUACCUUGUCUUUAAUCUAUUUGGUACUCUUGUAUGCUUUGCAAGUGUUUCCACAAGUUAGAAGUUUUAGUUUCAUUGGAAUCAUGAGCAUAAGAUUCCCACAUAGCUACAUUCUGCCCUUUUUCCCUUGUAUCUUAGUAAAAUGUUACCAUACUUUCGAUCUCACAUUCAGGCUUCUUUUAUUUUCAACAAUCUCUGCGUUCAUCUACGUGACAAAUAGUAGAAAAUACGUAAAACAAAAAACUGAUUCUAUACUAUGAAAUCAAUGGUUUUCAUGGCAACAAUCUUCAAACUUCUUAAGUUGUUCAUCCUAAUAGAAUUCAUUUCUUCCAAAGUAUACUUCAUUCUUCAUUUUGUAAUUAUAAAGAUUCAACUGAAAAAGAAUUCUAUGUUGGGAAUUGGAAAAUGGAAAUCAACUUCUAUUGUAAGUCCUUUGUAAAGAAAUAGUUGCAAAUUUUUUCCAAAUUGUAAAGACUCUUUAUCCAAAUUUUAAAGACUCUUUAGCAUGUCAUUAAUCAAAUCAAGCUAUAUCUUCGUACUCGUAAUCUACUGACUGCAAUGGGUUGUGAAAAACAUUCAGAUUGCAAUCUCUUUAGUCUUUAACGCUUAAUAAUCUAACUUAUACUGUAUAUACUUAAAGUUUACACAAUAUAAAUAUUGUCUUCUCAGCAUUAAUAUAGAUUUCAUUAAUUUAAAUAGCAUAAUGUUUCAGCAUCAACUGAUAAUGAAUUUUUGCAUACAAGAUAAAAAUAAAGUCAUAAAUUAUCACGUUGUUCAAUAAAUCCUAUAAUUGAAUUCAGUGAAUGAAGACCAAACAAGGCAACAACCAAACAAUCCAACUCCAAGCUCAAAUUUAGAUUGCUCUAGAUUUACUAAACAUUAUAUAUUUGAUAUAGGAGCAUACAAAUUGAUAAAGAACAAUAAGAAGAAAGGGGAUCAAAAGGAAGAAAUGAGGGCAAGAGAAAACUUUUAUUCAUAUAAUUAUGGUCUGUUUAUAAACAUUGUCCUAAGUCUCUUUAUAUAGAGGACUUCGAAAUUAAAUAAACUUCCUAGUAUCAAUUUGGUAUCGGAGCAAUGAGAAGAAACGGGAUCAAAUAGAAGAAUUGAGGGCAAGAGAGAUAGUUUUAUUCAUAUAAUUCAGGUCUGUUUGUAAACAUUCCCCUAAAUCUGUUUAUAUAGAGAAAGACUUUGAAAUUAAAUAAAUUUCAUAUCUAAACAAACUUGAAAUAAAAGAUAACAAUUGUCAUAAUCAAACUACUAUAAUAUAGAUAAACUGGAAUUCUAUUAAUUCUUAGUUUUUCGUCUUGAAUAGACUUUUAGUUGUUUCCUUGUUGUGUCAAUAUUGCUCCAGUCCAGAAUUCGUCGAUUAAAGUUUAAUUCUUAAAAAAAUCAUACAACAGUUUAUAUAUAAAAAAAUACAUCUAGGUAUUUUAAUUCAAACUCGAUUAUCUUCAAUAAUGUCAAGGUGAUCUCGAGAAGAUCUUGAUUCUUGACAUCAUAUCAAUUUUGAUAAAAUGAGAGAUUUGAGUUCUUGCGAAAGAUCAAAUAGAAGAUAUAUUUUUCCCUUUUGGGGUUUGCACUAAAAUUAUGAAUUUGUAAAGUAUUUAUAGAAUUAUUUAGAACGUGGAUUUUGAUAUUUUGAAUCUUGAUUACGGAGUAGGUUUUCCUUACAAAGGAUAGAGUCAGAAUUGUAGAAGUGUAUCAAAAGGUGGUGUGAGAUAAUUCUUGACCUAGGACUUUAUAGCCUGUUUGGUAUGGAUUAUUUUAAUCUAAGUCAACGUCAAACAAUCAAUAUUAACCACAUCUUUCAUGGUUUCCAUAACUUUUCAACCAUAAAUUUCAAAAACUUCUAUCACGAUCUACUGAAAAAUAUAAUUUUAAUCCCUACCAAACACCCUUUUAAUGUCAAAAUAUGAGGACCUGGUAUAUCUUGGUGCAAUGCACCUAUGUAAUAUAAAUUUUGGGAAAAUCAUCUGUUCUCAUGGCUGCACUGAAAACCAGAUCGAGCCACUUAGUAAAGGAAUAGGAGCCUGGAAAGAUUGUCCACCUCUAGGAAAUUGUACUUCAAUUUUGUUCAAUUGGGUAACUAAAAUUUUUCAUUUCAAUUGGAUAAUUUGAUUUUAAUCAAAUAACUAGGUUUUGAUUUUAUUUAAAUUAAAGUAACUUCGUCCAAUUCCACCAACAAAAAUUGAUGACGUGGCUAUUUAUAAAUUUUGGUCAUCAUACAUAACCGUCAGAUGCUAAUGGGAAAUAUGUACAACUUAAGUGAAAUCAAUGACGACCGUCGUUUUUUAAUUGUCACGUCAUUGAUAUUGUCUGUCCAAGUGAUAGAAUCAUAGAAAUCCAUUUGAAAUCAAAUUAAAGUGUAGUUAUACAAUUAAACAAACAUCAGUAUCUAGGUAUUGACUCCAGAUGAAAAUGUAGUUACCUCAAAUGGAAUUUAUCCAUGUAAAAACCUAGUAAGAAUGAAAUAUGCCUUUGGAGAAUCUAUAUUUCUAAUAUAUAUCAAUUAUCUAGGAGUAACAAAACAUCAUUCCUCUUUUGUUUGCUAAUACAAGGUGAUUGAUGUUUGUUUAGGUACAGCCUUGUAGGUUUCAAAAACUCGACUUUUCCACAUAGUAAUUGCUACUGGAGUAUACAUAUGUGCAAUUGAGUUUUCUUAUCCAAAAUAUUGUUUACUUGCUAGAUAUAUAUGUCGAAAAGUGUGCUAAAUCACCAUUGCUGCAAACAAUCAAGUUCUUUUGGGGCUUUUUGGAGGCUUUCACCUCCAUAAGUAUUUGUUUUUUCCCAAGAAGUUUCGAUUCCAUUGUUAAGUGGUCUCAAGUGAUGUUUUGUCACAUAUAUUAGUUUCGAGUUUUUUGUAUCUUUUCUUUUACCCAUCUUUUUCUUUGUUACUUGAUGAAGAUUGUUGAUUAUUAGCAUUAUAUGAGUUAACAAUCAAUUAAUAAGAUAAUGGGUAUCAUGAGAUUUUAGGUGUUAUAUGUUAAGCCACUUUAUGUAAAAGCUUAAGUUAUUCAUAUUUUGUCUUUGCCUAUCAUGCACACAUUUUGAUAAAUGCAUUUUUUUGUGGGCAGCAUUGCCGCCUCUCGUAUAACGUAGAACCAUUUUUGUCUGAAAGCUUAAGCCAUUAUAAGGGGAUACAUUUAUUUAUUCAAGUUUUAUUUUCAAAGUUAUGGAAUAUAUGUAGUGUCUUGAAAUUAAAAAUGUCAAUUUCCUUGUAAUUCCUCAUGGUUUGAACUCCGUGCAACGGAUAAGCGUAUUAAAGAGCCAUACAAAAGUGCAAUUUUUUUUUCUUCGUUUACUUUGGCUGUAAUGACCCGGACCUCUCGUCCAAGCCGUUAGUUUACGUACUGUCCGCUUUGGGUGGCCACUUAUCCCUCACGACUUUUCUUCGCGUCCCCCAGGAUUCGAACUCUUGACCUCUACAUAAAAGAGAUUUAAGUUGAAUCAUUAUAUUAAUUGGAAAAAAUGCGCGCGUUUUUUUGUAACGACCCGGACCUCUUGCCCAAGCCAUUAGCUUACGUCCUGUCUACUUUGGGUGGGCCUUGCGCCCACUUAUCCCUCACGGCUUUUCUUCGCGUCCCCCAGGAUUCGAACUCUUGAUCUCUACAUAAAAGAGACUUAAGUUGAAUGCUCUAAAACAGACAGGACGUAAGCUAACGGCUUGGGCGAGAGGUCCGAGUCGUUACAUUGACCCAUCUUAUGAAUGAACCAUUGCAAUAUGCAUGUCACACACUUGACACUGUACUCUUAUUAGAGCUUGGAGUGUCAUGCUGAGUAUUAUUGAUAUUAGCUUGCUCCUGCUCUUAUACUGUUAUGAUUUUUAUGACCAGCAUUUUUAUUUUCAUUUAUUUAUUUGUUUAUUUAAUUUUUUGUUUCAUUUAUGUAUUGCUUUCUAUCUUUCCAGUUCAGUUAGAUUAAUGCUGGUUACACUUGUAAGUAACCUCAGACUGGGCUGAGAUGUUUUUUGGUUGACAAAUAUUAUUUGUAGAACAUCUUUAAUAUGCUGACUGGAUGAUUUAGAUUAAUAUUUGUUUCAUUUGCACAGGGUUCCACAAUCUCCUGAUUCAGCUGACCGUUCCCCAUCUCCAAGGUAAGUAUUUUGAUCAUGAUAACCUCUGGUGGUCUCUUCUACUUAAUUUUUUCUUGCUCCUUAAGAAUAAGCUUUUGGUUCCCUUUAGCAGCAGGAGGCCUUCCAGGCCAAUUAGCAAAUCCUUUUCCAAUUCUAAAAGUUAUUCUGAGUGGAUUUCCAUUUGAUGUCAGAGUGUGCUCAUAAUUUUGAUAGAUUGUGAUUUGUUAUCUGGUUUUCAUUUUAGUGAAAGACGGAGGUCAAGAAGUAUAUCUGGAUCACCUCCACCGAGAGGACGGUCCAUUUCCUCUGAGAGGCCACGUCGAUCUUCACCAAGACUGUCUGGGACACCGAGGAGGAGGCAUUCGCCUCGUCUCUCUCCUCCACCAAGGUAUAGGUCAACCCGCACUAGGAGAAGAUCUAUAUCGCAUUCAAGGCACAGGUCUCCUUCUCCCACACGAUAUAGGGUUCGUUCCCCUCUGCGUCGCAGGUCACGAUCUCCUUUGCGACGUAGAUCAAGAUCUCCCGUGUGGCGUAGGUCAAGGACACCAAUACGAAGAUCACCAGUGCAAUACAGGUCCCGUUCACCCGUGCGACGCAGAUCACCACCUGUGCGACGCAGAUCACCACCUGUGAGACGUAGAUCACCGUCUCCUAUCCCACGACGAUCACUGUCUCCUAUGCGACGACGAUCACCUUCCCCCCCUCGUCGUAGGUUGCCAUCCUUUCGUCGUAAGUCACCAUCCCCUCAUCGUAGGUCACCAUCUCCUGUAAGAAGGCAGCACCGACGAUCACCUUCAACUCCACGGCGCCAGUCUAUAUCCCCAGUUCGGCACAGGUUACCAGUGCCCAGUCGAAGAAGAUCUAUAACACCUGCCAAACGAAGGUCUCCUUCAGUGCAAGAAUCUAUUUCCCCCUCUCCCAGUUCCCUUUCACCAGUCAGGAGGCGAUCACUGAAAAGCCAGAAAUCACCUCUACGAUCUCCCAGAGAAGCAAUCAGGUACUUUAGAGCAUGUUAGCUGCUUUCGAUCUUUAAGAAUUUUUUGAUAUUUGUAUUUUAUUUUGCUUUCAAGCGUAUGGUUUGCAUGUGUUUUUGUUACUGUUACAGUUUAGAUGCUUUAGUGCACAUCUGCAGCAAUGAUAAUGGCGGAACAGACAUUUUUUUUUUUUUAAAAUUAGGAUGCCUAGGAAUACGACAAAAACAAAUCAAUUGAGAUGACACACCCCUUUUAAGCAACUGUGAUAUGUCACGACAGUGUAAUGGUUCAUAAAAAAGAGAACAGGACGUUAUCUACAUAAAAGAACACUGAAGAGACAACACAAUGAAAUUAUGUGCUUAAGACUGUUGGCAUCCUUCCACAUAACACCUAAGCACAGCCCAUAUGAACCAUAACUCAACCAAUCUACUCCAGUUAUUAAAAAAAACCUCGUGUCUUCUUUAUAGAAUAAAAGGAACAUGCUUGAAAUACAGACCUCUAAACGAGGAGGUGCCUCAAAUGGCAAGAUCAUUAAUUUGUUUAUCCAAUAUUCUACCUUUUUGCUGGCACUUCAUUCUUAACUGUAGAUAAAUAGUUCAUUGAAUUGCAACAGAACUUUCCUAUAGCUUUAGUCGGAGGGCAGAAAUGUGAGUUAAUUUUUUUUCUGUAAGGUCCAUUUCCUAGUUUGAAAAGAAUUCAUAUUUUUGUUUUUAUUGUUUAAGGGACAGGGAAACAUGCAAUAUAUCAUGAUGAUGUGGCAGAUAAAUGAAAAUAUUUGAGUGUUGGUAACAGCCACACAAGAAAAAAGUGUGCUCUUUGUUUAAUGAGGUUGAUCAUGAUAUUUCCAGUAUUGCCACUCUCCUUUUUCUUCCCUCUGGUUUUAUCUCUGCUUUUUCCUUUGAUCUCUUGGAAGAACUGGGCUUUCAAAUUAGAGAAACUGGGGUAGAGAGCUGAGAUCUCUAUUAUAUAUCUGGUGAAUUUUGCACGAUUUUGUGUUAUGAGAUGACCAUCUGUACUAUUUCGACUUAUUGCUCUAUUUCCAUUCAAACUGGAUUCCCAUCUGCAUGCACUUUCCUAGUUUGCAGUAGCUGUAAAAAUUUUGAUGCAUAAAAUUCCUGCUGCUGGGGAAUAUGCAUAGAAAGCAGGCUUACUUGAUCUUUGAUCUCUCUAAACUCUAAUCCAAACUCUGAACUGUAGGCCUCUUGUUUCUUUGAGAUCACCGCAAAGGGACAUGCUGGAUCGAAAUGACCAACGUGGAAGAGUGCUGGAUCCGUCUCCUCUGCACAAGUCUCCAUCUGCUUCCGAAGUGUCUGGGGAAGGAAAUCAUAUUGAACGGCAGAGGUUCAAACCUCUAUCUAUAUCUACCUUUUGGUUUUUUUAUCACAUUUUCUUGAGGUGUAACAUUGUAAGUCACAUUUUAUUUGGAUAGGUCUAGUAGUCCUCAUCGUAGUCCUUAUCAAAGAAGGGAAAGGAUCAUUCUUCCUGAGAGUCCAAACCCUUUACCGAAAGGAAUGGGAUCCAAACCUCAUCCUGAUAGUUCUGGGACAAGUGCUGAUGACAGGUAAACCUUGUAUGCUAGGUUUUGUUUGAAAAGUUCAUUGUUCUCGAACGUGGUAUUUUUUACUCUAAAUUUCUGAGUUGUGCAUGGUUUUAUUUUUUAUUUAGAGAGAUUGGAAAGCUUAAACAUAGAUCUUUAGAGAAAAAUUCUCCAUCACAUGAUCGGCAUAAAGAUUCUUUUGGCUUUGAUGAUCAUGUGAAGUCAAGAAAUCCUCGUCAACUGCCAGACAGGUUUGCUGUUGCUGUGGUACAUUCUGUCUCAGUAGUCUAUAGUUUGUGUAUAACUGAUCUAAUUUUUGUAUUUUUUGUUUUUAUUUGAAUAAACCAGUGAAAAGUUAGCUGAAAGAGUGGAUCACAUAAUAAAUCCCGAGAAACAAGAAUCAUUAGUGAUUCGUAAAAGCGCCAUAUUAAGAGAGGAAGGAAAGGGAUCAUAUGUUGACAAUGAUUACAGAGCUGUUGAUAAGAAUACAUCUGUGUAUGACGAUACCAAGGGCAGUGGUCGACAUUCAGAACUUGAAGUCUUGCCUAAUUUGUCUGGGGCAGACAAGCUGAAUGCUCGAAGUCGUUCAGUGGGAUUCAACUCUGAGGAAACUGACAGGCAUAAAACUAAAAUUAAAGAAAAGGGAAAGCACAAGAGGUCAGAGAGACAAGAGGUGGAAUCAGAUGACUAUUCUAGCUAUGAUUCUUAUGAGAAGAGGAAGGAGGCUAAGAGGAGGAAAAAAGAGGAGAAGAAAUUGAAAAAGGAGGAGAGGCAUCGACGGCGGGAGGAACGGCGCCGCAGAAAAAAGGAAAAGCAUGCAGAGAAGCUGAAAUUGAAGUCGCUUGACGCUGGUAGUCCAUCUUUAGAUAUUGAGAUUGAUCAUGAUCGUCAUGCUUCUUAUGAUGACGGUUAUAGAAGGCGGGAAACGCAUACAAGUGACAUGGAGGAAACAGAAUCUGAGCAGAAAAAGCUUGAGAUAGAGUUGAGGGAAAAGGCUCUUGAGUCGCUUCGAGCAAAGAAGGGCGCUCAGAAUUAAAUUUUUUUGCUGCUCUAGAAUAUUUCACUUUUAUUUUCUGUUAUAUGAUCCUGUUAUGAGUUCCUGUUUCUGUCCUAGACCUAUUCUGUUUCGGAUGAAUGUAUUCUUGGUGGCUAUUUAAUGUAAUGUGUCUUUACUGCUGGCAGCUGAAUGGAUAAAUGAGGAUUUCCUGAGCUAGUGUCUUGAGUGCAACUUUAUGCUGACUUUCCUGCUAAAUUUGCUGGUAAUAUUUGUCUUCCCUUCACUGGGAAUAUGUUUAUGUUAUAUUUACACGACACAAAAGUGUGCACGUGAAUCAUCUUGUUGCUUGGGUGGUGCUUUCCAUCUUUUACUAUUUUGUGUCUACUAUACUUACAUUUUGGUAUUUGCUUGUCUUCUGUGAGUUGGAAUUUCAAUUAAGCUUGCAGGUAAGGAGUGCCUAACCUUUUAUUCUUUGGAAUGAUUAUGUGCAUCCUGAAGGUCUUGACAGUUAUUUCCCUAAAUAACUUUGUUACUAAAAUGACUUUCUGGUUAAUUGAUAGAUGAGAAUAAUUGUCAACUUGACGACUUCGUUGAGCAGAUCUUGUGCAACUCCAUAUUUUAGACCUCCAUACAGGUGAAGUAUUUUACUCUUAGUUGGUUUCUCUUAAAUAAUUAUUUACUUGGUUGAGAUUUGAAUUUCGAAUUCUGUCAGAGUUCUAAUUCUACCUCUGUAUCGUUGGCAGCCUGAGAGUUAUUCCCAAGAAUUUGAUUUUCUAUUCUACAUGAUACCUUUAAGUUCCUGUUCAUCCUGUUUCCAUGUUGAUUGCAGCUGGUAAUCAAUACUGGUGCAUAAUUGUGGUGCGAUUUUGUAUGUGAACACUUAUGGUUUAAUUGUUCAACAAGGUCAUUAACUGUUUGAUUUUCUUUGUUCGUGUUCUGCCCGCUAUUUCUUUUGUUCAAUUAUUGUUAUUUUUUUUUAUUAAUAUUAUAUAUGUUGGUGGUGGUGGUGGGGUGGAUCCUUGUGCUUCAUGUUUGUCCAUAUUGAUUCACUCUGUAGUGGGGGGCAUGCAAUGUUGACACAUGAAUUUCAUAUGAUGACUCUGUUAAUAAUCAUUCAUAUACUGAUUAUAUCUUUGCUAAAUAUGAUUUAACAUUUAUUCACAUUCCUAUGCCUUUUUUCUGGAAAGAUGUACGUUCUACUGGUUAUUGGGUGGAUGGAGAAAUGAUCGCAGCUAAGGAUUCAGUUUUUGUUAAUUUCUGACUGUUGAGGCAUUUGACAUUUUAGCUGCGUCAUAUAUCUACUCUUCUCUUCUCCCUCGUAGAUUUGUAACUUUGCAACUCAAUCUAGGAUUUGCUUCCAAGCUUUUGACAUCUGUGAAAAAACAUGUACCUGUUUCGGGGCAUUAUCUCUGCAUAUAAACGUGGUUGGUGAAAAAAUUGUGAUUCAGCUAAUAUAUGUUUGAAUUCUAUCCAUUACAGGCGUUACCGUUGCAUAUUAACGUACCUGUUUCCAAGCAUGAAUAAAAGGGUCGAGUUAGGUAGUUUGGGAGUCAAAACAGCUUAAAAUUGUCACUUUUGUCAUGACUAGGAUUUGUGGAGUCAACUUUCAAGCUCUGAUGCUCGAACUCUUCGAACUGGUUGGAGUACCCGUGUCAGACACGACAUGGGUAUGGGUAUGGGUAUGGGUAUGAGUAUGAGAUGUGUCAGAUCCUCCAAGUUUCAACUAGAUACUUUGCCCUUUUCGCUUCUUCUUUCGUUUUUCUUUUCCUUCUCUUAUCGUUUCUAUUCUCUAUAAACCUAGUGCCACCUUCGAGAGGGUGGAAAAAGGUGACGGCACUAGAUUUUUCCUUUCCCUUUUCUUUUCUUCUUCUUUUUUUUUUCCCCUUCUUUCCCUCUCUG
RNAcentral lists this long non-coding RNA (13295 nucleotides) under Olea europaea subsp. europaea. Lineage: Eukaryota; Viridiplantae; Streptophyta; Magnoliopsida; Lamiales; Oleaceae. The record is from RNAcentral.